This 667-nucleotide ribosomal RNA is filed under the name uncultured Thelephoraceae. RNAcentral describes it as "eukaryotic LSU rRNA". The stretch from base 250 to 404 matches the Rfam family "5.8S ribosomal RNA". The record is from RNAcentral. Lineage: Eukaryota; Fungi; Basidiomycota; Agaricomycetes; Thelephorales; Thelephoraceae.
AAGUCGUAACAAGGUUUCCGUAGGUGAACCUGCGGAAGGAUCAUUACCGAAUUGUUAACAAGAGUUGUUGCUGGUCCCUGUAUGGGGGCAUGUGCACGCUCUGUUUACACAUCCACUCACACCUGUGCACACUCUGUAGUUCUAUGGCCUGGGUAGGCUCUGUCCUCCUGCUGUGGUUCUACGUCUUUACACACACACACUACAACAAAGUCUCAUGGAAUGUAUGUCGCGUUUAACGCAAUGAAAUACAACUUUCAGCAACGGAUCUCUUGGCUCUCGCAUCGAUGAAGUACGCAGCGAAAUGCGAUAAGUAAUGUGAAUUGCAGAAUUCAGUGAAUCAUCGAAUCUUUGAACGCACCUUGCGCCCUUUGGCUAUUCCGAAGGGCAUGCCUGUUUGAGUAUCAUGCACACCUCAACUCCUCAUGGCUUGCCAUGACGAGCUUGGACUUUGGGGGUCUUGUUGGCCUGUGAGCCAGCUCCUCUUAAAGGGAAUUAGCUUGCCGGUGUUUGGUGGCAUCCCAGGUGUGAUAACUAUCUACGCUUGUGGUUUUCCACCAGGUAACCUUCAGCAAUGGAGGUUCACUGGAGCUUAUAAAUGUCUCUCCUCUGCGAGGACGCAUUUUGACCAUUUGAUCUCAAAUCAGGUAGGACUACCCGCUGAACUUAA